This 71-nucleotide transfer RNA is filed under the name Marmota monax (woodchuck). RNAcentral describes it as "tRNA.Ala". The record is from RNAcentral. Lineage: Eukaryota; Metazoa; Chordata; Mammalia; Rodentia; Sciuridae.
GGGGUCGUGGCUCAGUGGUAGAGCACUCGCGGAGCACGUGUGAGGCACUGGGUUCGAUCCUCAGCACCACA